Molecule: RNA transcript, 1919 nt
Organism: Musa acuminata AAA Group (dessert banana)
Lineage: Eukaryota; Viridiplantae; Streptophyta; Magnoliopsida; Zingiberales; Musaceae
Exons: 5
Source: RefSeq, a predicted model, not a curated record
CGAUGCAAGAACGGUCCAUUUACGAUUGAGUAGGCGCAAUAGUGGGAGCGGAUCCGAACUCCCUCUUCGGGCACUGCCCCGGAUGAGUUGGGUGGAGUAGCCAGAUCACGCGGCGCCGGGAGCAGGGCAGCGCUCGCGGCAGUUCGGCGCCGGGUGCUUCGGGGGCAUGAGCUCGCUUUCCAUCGGGCGGCCGACGUGACCCGAGUUACGAGGGCUUGUGAGCCGCGGGCGAAGAACCACUGCGAGGUGGUCCGGGUGCAGUAUGAUCCCCGCAACUGCAAGUACCAAGGAGCUCUUUGAUGUUUUCCGUGCGCGCUAUAAUCCUAUUAUCGUCAAUCGCCAGGUUUUUGCAGGUUAUUCGUGCGUGAUCAUUGAGUCAAUUUUCUUAGGGUCCAAUAACCAUUGUACAAAAGGAAAACAAAGUUGUUACGAUCUUGAAUACACUUCUACACGUGAGAACAGGGAAAAGCCCCUAUGAAAUAUUUAGAAAGUAACCAGAAGGUCAUGAACUGGAAUAUCAUGAAAGUACUUCUCAGGUGCUCCUGAGAUUUCCUCAAAGUUUAUGCUGUCAUGAAGACAUCAUUACGAGUAAGCAUGCCUUUGUUUACUGGUAACUUUUAACGCAUGGGCCUUGCUUUUCUUUCAGCAUCUUCAUGGCAUCUAGCUACCUAUUAGCCUUUCAUAUAUGUCAUCUUGUAAAAUAUAGUAACCAAAGAUUAUUCUUAGAUGAGCUAGCAUUGAAAUGAUAUUCUGGGUUCUGUUUGGCUAUGAUGGUGUAUUGUGCUAAAGCAUUUGACUUCAGACUAGCUAUAUGGAAUUGUGUUUGGAGAAAAUUCUGGUAGUUGCUCGGCAGUCAAAUUUAGCAAAUAAUGAAAAGAAAGAAAAUAAAUGGUUUGCAUGUCACAUGGUCUAAUAAUUUGAAGCUAAAUGGGACUCGGUAGAUUGCAACAUUGAAACCUAUGUAGUUAUGGUCUUGGGUCAAAUGAAUGACAUCUUUCUUUUAGUCUGCUGCUUAAGUUAUUUCACCAAUGGAGUUACAUCACUAUCAUGCUCACCAAAGCCUGUUUAAAUCUGGACCACUGCAACAACAAAUUGAAAUAUUUAUAGUAUUUGGGAUUGACUAGAUGAAUCUUCCAGCUAGUGAGUUCUACAUAGAUGAGUAUCUUACAGGCAAAUCAAAAGCUUUGAAGUUUCUUUUUCUUAUGUGUUCAUAGUUUGGAUUCAGACCUGCAUAAAAGCAUCAAAUUUGACAGUAUUCUCAGGAAGAACAAAUUGUGGAGGUCUUCCUACCCCACAAUCUCAUGCAUGCCAACCAAGAAAGUUGGUAGCCAAUGAUUACCCACCUACCAGUGAAUUCCAUGAUUGGCCUAAGGUGAAGCUUUGCUUUCAAUCUCUGCUGUUGGGUUAGCUUUUUGGCUGGGGAGCGUUAGUGUGGUCCAUAAAAGAGGAGUGAGCUCCCGCAGCCAGAGUGCAUGACGGGGACGGAUGUCGACGUCCUUCGCAACCAACCAGUGGCCACAGGCGCUCCGGCAGCCACGAACUGCCCCUCUCAUAACCGCUCUCGCAGGCGCUACGCCGCGUUGGGGGACGCUGCCUCUGGUGAGGGCAACUGCUGGCCAAGCAGCGAAGGCCCGCGCGGGGACUGCUGCCAGCCGGGCGAGGAUGGUUCUGUGUUGCUGCCAACGGUUGCUCUCCGUGGCGUCGUUAAUGGGGAUGGAACAGAGGGGAAGAAGAAUAAGAAUAAGCAGGUGGAAGGAAGACGAGUGAGGACGAGAAAAAAAAAUGUGAGAAGGUGAGAAAGGAAAAUGGAUCCAUUAAUUGGUUUCGGUCAUUUGGAUAAUUAUAUAAAAUAUAGGCUAUUUAUCGAAAAAAUAAGUACGUUUCGUGUUUUUUAGGUUAUUUAAAUAUCAAAAGAUACC